GAUGAACGCUAGCGGCAGGCCUAACACAUGCAAGUCGAGGGGGAGGUUACUUUCGGGUAACUGAGACCGGCGUACGGGUGCGUAACGCGUAUACAGUCUGCCUUUCACUGGGGGAUAGCCCGAAGAAAUUUGGAUUAAUACCCCAUAGUAUAGUAAUACGGCAUCGUGAUGCUAUUAAAGCUUAGGUGGUGAAAGAUGAGUAUGCGUUCUAUUAGCUAGUUGGAGAGGUAACGGCUCCCCAAGGCGAUGAUAGAUAGGGGUUCUGAGAGGGAUGUCCCCCACACUGGUACUGAGAUACGGACCAGACUCCUACGGGAGGCAGCAGUGAGGAAUAUUGGACAAUGGUCGGAAGACUGAUCCAGCCAUGCCGCGUGCAGGAUGAAGGUCUUAUGGAUUGUAAACUGCUUUUGUAAGGGAAGAAUAAGGGCUACGCGUAGUUUGAUGACGGUACCUUACGAAUAAGCAUCGGCUAACUCCGUG
This 480-nucleotide ribosomal RNA is filed under the name uncultured bacterium. RNAcentral describes it as "partial 16S ribosomal RNA". It matches the Rfam family "Bacterial small subunit ribosomal RNA", at positions 28 to 507 of the family's 1533-position model. The record is from RNAcentral.